CCAAGCAAGCCUACUUAUAUAAUCCUGCUCAUCAUUCCAUCAACUAUUCUUAAAGUCACCUUUCAUACUUCCAAUCUAUAAGAACCUAAUUAAUAUGCUAUAGCAAUCAAAACUACAUUUCACAUUAACCCAAAUAAUGUUAAACAUUGCCACUCAUGGUGGCUUACCAAUCAAAAUAUACAUAUAUGCUCUAAGGCUUCAUUUUAGUUCUUUACAUCACAUGCACGUAUUUAUAAACAAAAUGACUCUAGGCCUCCAGCGAAAUGACCAAGGUGAAGGGACGGCUACUGAAUGCCAACAUACCUACCAAAGAGACGAAACUACGUGGAAACCUCGGCCUAGGUUCCAACUACCUCCUAAUCUGAAAACAUGAAGUUGAAAAUAGUGAGUACAAACUCAGUGAGUGAACAUAAGAAGGGAACAAGCAACAAUAAGGAAAGCUGAUAAUCAUGAUGCACUUAUUUGAAAACAAUGCAACUUAGUUCAAGUUCUUAUUAAAAUCCCUCUAUUUAACCCUGGGUUGUAAAAUCAUUUAACGAUGAAGGAACCAUGUUCGGCAUAAAAUUAGAAAGAGAGGAAAUUUCCAACAAUCAUCCAAGCAAGGCAGCAUAAACAGCAUGUUUCUCACUGUAAUAAAAUCAAUUUGCAAGUCAAUGGGAAAUAUUCAAGAUUCAUCAUACCAUACAAUCACAUAUUAUAAUCAUGAUUUUUUUAUUGCAUAUACAUAUACUUAAGCAUAUACCAAUUCGUAUACCACCCCAUUUCACCCAGCUCAUGUGCAUCCCCCCACAUCGUGCACAUAGUCGGACACCCCAUCUCAACCAGCUCAUGUGCAUCCCCCCACAUCGUGCACACAACCGGACACCCCAUCUCACUUAGCUCAUGUGCAUCCCCCUACAUCGUGCACAUAGCUAGAGUCAUCAUGUGCAUCCCCCCACAUCGUGCACAGUUAAUGCCAUCGUGUGCAUCCCCCCACAUCGUGCACAGUCAAUGCCAUCGUGUGCAUCCCCCCACAUCGUGCACACGUGCAGUAUCACCAUCCAUCUCCCUCACCACCGUCAUCACUGGCAAGUGCACAUUCACCCCGCACAUGCACGGUUGCAUUUGUCACACAAUGGUACCAUUUAUGACAUAGUAUAUAUAUAUAUAUAUAUAUAUAUAUAUAUAUCAACNGUACCAUUUAUGACAUAGUAUAUAUAUACAUCAACUUUAUACAGAAACAUAUGAAUUCAUCACACAAUCCAUUUCAUAACAUAAAAACAUUUCAUAAGGGCUUGUUCCUGUGCAAGUUUUGAAGAAAGAACCAAGUAAAACAUUUUAGGGGAUUCAAUCAAAUAUAUAUGUGUAUAUCCCAAAACCUUUUAAUGCAAGUUCACUCAUCGGUACUUGUUGAACCUUUAGUCGACUCUAACUUUCCUAAUGGUUCAAAUGGGGCUGAGGGACCUUGUUGGAACCUAUCACGCACAAAAACAUCACAGCUAGACAAAUUUACAUUAAUAUCACUCCAAAAACUGUUUCCCAAUUCAAGCUUCAAUAGCCCCUCCUAUCUACCUUCCAAUUACCAUUUGAUUGGCUAUUCCAUUUCUCUACUUUAGUAACACUAACACAACUCGUAACUCUAAUUACUAGCCAUCAUCAAUAACUUAAAACCAAUCCUAAUUCAUCACUCACCUUUGUGGAUGGUAAUGAAAUUUCUUCCUAAGAGUCCUCAAGCUGUCAUGAAACCUUUUUUUCUCUCUCUACAAAGUUCAGCUGGUGAGAAAAAGUAUUCAAAAAAGACUUUUAAGGCUUUGUUUAAGGUGAAGGAGUAAAAGAGUAUGAAAAACCCUACAACAGGGUGUGUAAAGAACGAAAAUUGAGGUUAGUUUGAGAGAGUGAUGGAAGCUUGAGAAAAACUUUCAUGGAAGAGGAGAAAAAUGUGAGAUGGGAUGAGGAAAA
RNAcentral lists this long non-coding RNA (1938 nucleotides) under Theobroma cacao (cacao). RNAcentral's name for it is "long non-coding RNA (TCAC_LNC003945)". Lineage: Eukaryota; Viridiplantae; Streptophyta; Magnoliopsida; Malvales; Malvaceae. The record is from RNAcentral.